RNAcentral lists this ribosomal RNA (301 nucleotides) under uncultured bacterium. Its description in RNAcentral is "partial 16S ribosomal RNA". It matches the Rfam family "Bacterial small subunit ribosomal RNA", at positions 512 to 808 of the family's 1533-position model. The record is from RNAcentral.
CAUCGCCGCGGUAAUACGUAGGGUGCAAGCGUUAAUCGGAAUUACUGGGCGUAAAGCGUGCGCAGGCGGUUUUGUAAGACAGAGGUGAAAUCCCCGGGCUCAACCUGGGAACUGCCUUUGUGACUGCAAGGCUAGAGUACGGCAGAGGGGGAUGGAAUUCCGCGUGUAGCAGUGAAAUGCGUAGAUAUGCGGAGGAACACCGAUGGCGAAGGCAAUCCCCUGGGCCUGUACUGACGCUCAUGCACGAAAGCGUGGGGAGCAAACAGGAUUAGAUACCCCUGUAGUCCCUGUCUCUUAUACC